This 253-nucleotide ribosomal RNA is filed under the name uncultured bacterium. RNAcentral's name for it is "partial 16S ribosomal RNA". It matches the Rfam family "Bacterial small subunit ribosomal RNA", at positions 524 to 776 of the family's 1533-position model. The record is from RNAcentral.
UACAGAGGUGGCAAGCGUUGUUCGGAAUUACUGGGCGUAAAGGGCGCGUAGGCGGUCUUGUAAGUCUUGUGUGAAAUCCCUCGGCUUAACUGAGGAACUGCACGGGAUACUGCUUGACUUGAGUUCGGGAGAGGGAAGCGGAAUUCCGGGUGUAGCGGUGAAAUGCGUAGAUAUCGAGAGGAACACCUGCGGCGAAGGCGGGUUGCUGGGCCGACACUGACGCUGAUGCGCGAAAGCCAGGGGAGCGAACGGG